GUGGAACUGUGUCCCCACAAAAGGUCCCGCGACGGAGGCUGGCAUCACCGUGGGUGGACACACGAGAAUUAUGUGGCAAACGGCAGAAUAGAGGGAGAGGUGAAGUCAGGCCAUACUUGCAACCUACCACACCAGGUAAGCUACCACCCAUCCAACCUCCCCGUGAUGAGAAGCUAGCAAAAAAACUGGCAGAAAAUCCUGAUCUUAACUGAUCUUAAGCACGAAAGGGCUGCUGGAUCAUGAAAUUGAGUUUACCUGCAAUUGACUAGUUUAGGUUUUCUAACCAUUAGA
RNAcentral lists this long non-coding RNA (291 nucleotides) under Homo sapiens (human). Its description in RNAcentral is "HSALNT0338007". The record is from RNAcentral. Lineage: Eukaryota; Metazoa; Chordata; Mammalia; Primates; Hominidae.